This 407-nucleotide ribosomal RNA is filed under the name uncultured bacterium. RNAcentral describes it as "partial 16S ribosomal RNA". It matches the Rfam family "Bacterial small subunit ribosomal RNA", at positions 28 to 526 of the family's 1533-position model. The record is from RNAcentral.
GACGAACGCUGGCGGCGUGCCUAACACAUGCAAGUCGGACGAAGUUGCGAACGGGAGAGUAACGCGUAGGUCACUACCUGUUAGACGGGGUUAACUAUUGGAAACGAUAGCUACUACCGCAUACUAGUAGAUGGAACUGCGUUGUAUUAGCUAGUAGGUAGGGUAAUGGCCUACCUAGGCAACGAUACAUAGCCGACCUGAGAGGGUGAGCGGCCAAACUGGGACUGAGACACGGCCCAGACUCCUACGGGAGGCAGCAGUAGGGAAUCUUCGGCAAUGGGGGGAACCCUGACCGAGCAACGCCGCGUGAGUGAGGAAGGUUUUCGGGUCGUAAAGCUCUGUUGUUAAGGAAGCGGUACUUGAACAGAAAGCGACGGCUAACUACGUGCCCGCAGCCGCGGUAAUAC